CAACACAAUAACGAAAAAAGCAACUCAUGGAAUAUUCAAGCAUAAGAUGUAUUGAAUGGAUUUAUUGAUAGUGAAAUAACUCAUUCUUCCUUGGCUCUCUUGGGUUUGGUAUUCAUAAAAUGAGUGAGAUCAUUUAUACACACUCACAUUUAUGAUCAUUGCACUUCCACUUAUUAGGAAAAUUGCAUAUAGCACUUCUUCGACACUCAAAGGCAUCAUUACAUCUAAUCUGUGCUGUAAAUAAUAAUAUAAAAAAAAAAAUAUUACCAAUACUAGAUAAAGAUUGUGUACCAAAUCCAAAGCAAAAGAAGGAAACUUGAAAAUAAUGAAAAAAAUGUCUUACCAGUAACAUUCUUUGCAACAAGAAAUAAGGAAAGAAAUAAAA
Molecule: long non-coding RNA, 385 nt
Filed under: Medicago truncatula (barrel medic)
Lineage: Eukaryota; Viridiplantae; Streptophyta; Magnoliopsida; Fabales; Fabaceae
Description: lncRNA gene14889
Source: RNAcentral